RNAcentral lists this ribosomal RNA (254 nucleotides) under uncultured bacterium. RNAcentral describes it as "partial 16S ribosomal RNA". It matches the Rfam family "Bacterial small subunit ribosomal RNA", at positions 524 to 776 of the family's 1533-position model. The record is from RNAcentral.
CACGUAGGGCGCGAGCGUUUGUCCGGAAUUAUUGGGCGUAAAGAGCUCGUAGGCGGCCUGUUGCGUCCGCUGUGAAAGCCCGGGGCUUAACCCCGGGUCGGCAGUGGAUACGGGCAGGCUAGAGGUAGGUAGGGGAGAAUGGAAUUCCCGGUGUAGCGGUGAAAUGCGCAGAUAUCGGGAGGAACACCGGUGGCGAAGGCGGUUCUCUGGGCCUUACCUGACGCUGAGGAGCGAAAGCGUGGGGAGCGAACAGG